UGGGGGAUAUUGCACAAUGGAGGAAACUCUGAUGCAGCGACGCCGCGUGAGUGAAGAAGUAUUUCGGUAUGUAAAGCUCUAUCAGCAGGGAAGAUGAUGACGGUACCUGACUAAGAAGCCCCGGCUAACUACGUGCCAGCAGCCGCGGUAAUACGUAGGGGGCAAGCGUUAUCCGGAUUUACUGGGUGUAAAGGGAGCGCAGGCGGUUUGGCAAGUUGAGAGUGGAAGCAGGGGGCUCAACCCCCUGACUGCUCCCAAAACUGUUAAACUUGAGUAUGGGAGAGGCAGGCGGAAUUCCUAGUGUAGCGGUGAAAUGCUUAGAUAUUAGGAAGAACACCGGUGGCGAAGGCGGCCUGCUGGACCAAAACUGACGCUGAGGCUCGAAAGCGUGGGUAGCAAACAGGAUUAGAUACCCUGGUAGUCCACGCUGUAAACGAUGAAUACUAGGUGCUGGGAGGCAUAAGCCUUUCGGUGCCGUCGCAACGCAUUAAGUAUUCCACCUGGGGAGUACGUUCGCAAGAAUG
This 524-nucleotide ribosomal RNA is filed under the name uncultured bacterium. RNAcentral describes it as "bacterial SSU rRNA". It matches the Rfam family "Bacterial small subunit ribosomal RNA", at positions 355 to 896 of the family's 1533-position model. The record is from RNAcentral.